This 425-nucleotide ribosomal RNA is filed under the name uncultured bacterium. Its description in RNAcentral is "partial 16S ribosomal RNA". It matches the Rfam family "Bacterial small subunit ribosomal RNA", at positions 354 to 796 of the family's 1533-position model. The record is from RNAcentral.
GUGAGGAAUAUUGGACAAUGGGCGAAAGCCUGAUCCAGCAAUGCCGCGUGAGUGAUGAAGGCCUUAGGGUUGUAAAGCUCUUUUACCAGGGAUGAUAAUGACAGUACCUGGAGAAUAAGCUCCGGCUAACUCCGUGCCAGCAGCCGCGGUAAUACGGAGGGAGCUAGCGUUGUUCGGAAUUACUGGGCGUAAAGCGCGCGUAGGCGGCGAUUUAAGUCAGAGGUGAAAGCCCGGGGCUCAACCCCGGAAUAGCCUUUGAGACUGGAUUGCUAGAAUCCUGGAGAGGUGAGUGGAAUUCCGAGUGUAGAGGUGAAAUUCGUAGAUAUUCGGAAGAACACCAGUGGCGAAGGCGGCUCACUGGACAGGUAUUGACGCUGAGGUGCGAAAGCGUGGGGAGCAAACAGGAUUAGAUACCCCUGUAGUCC